This 277-nucleotide ribosomal RNA is filed under the name uncultured bacterium. Its description in RNAcentral is "partial 16S ribosomal RNA". It matches the Rfam family "Bacterial small subunit ribosomal RNA", at positions 335 to 604 of the family's 1533-position model. The record is from RNAcentral.
ACUCCUACGGGAGGCAGCAGUGGGGAAUAUUGCACAAUGGGCGCAAGCCUGAUGCAGCCAUGCCGCGUGUGUGAAGAAGGCCUCGGGUUGUAAAUGCACUUUCAGUAAGGAGGAAAGGUUAGUCACUAAUAUUGGCUAGCUGUGACGUUACUUACAGAAGAAGCACCGGCUAACUCCGUGCCAGCAGCCGCGGUAAUACGGAGGGUGCGAGCGUUAAUCGGAAUUACUGGGCGUAAAGCGUACGCAGGCGGUUUGUUAAGCGAGAUGUGAAAGCCCG